GAUAAUAUUUAUGCCUGACACCAUGAUAAUCAAAUGUUGAUUUAGUUGUUACACAGAGACUCAAGCCUUCACAAAGAAACUGGCUAGAACCAAUCACAACCACCAACCUUUUCUCUGAGCAUGGCAUGCCUGAGCGGCUCAUGGAUGAACUUCUGAUGUAUAAGGGCCUAACUAGGACCCCAUUCUCCUGUCUUGGACCUCAUUGCAACGGAAGCAGAAGAGUUGCAUAGAGAAACCAAGUGCAACAACGAAAAGAUCACUGGAAAGUGAAAGAGCGGGCUACUUGGUUAGCUGCUGCCCUAACUCAAGGGAAUCCAAGACCAGGGCCACUAUAAGGAAGAGAUCAACCCCAGGUCAUGACUUAUUAACUUAAUUGAAAUGCUAAAGUUACUUUUGUACCUGGAUAUAUGGAUAUAAAGGUACCAUCAAAGGAAGUUUGAUCCUUUCAAGCAAUGCUACUCCAUCAAGGCGGAAGUGUCCUACUAUUGCUGCAUGAAGACAUCGUAAAACGAUAUGCCCUUGCGCCAUGUAAAUCCCAGCGACUUGGUGUUAUUGAAGAUCUGGAUAAAGAAGCACCCAGAGGACCAACUGCAACCUCCUGAACAGGACAUUAGGAGGUGCUAUUGACUACCCAUUCUUCAGUGAAACUGAAAGAGUACUAAGCCAUGGACUCCCCACACCCAAGUAGAGCUGGCCCCACAAGAACCCACAGGUUGCCUACACACCGUAAGCAAGGAAAACGUUGGAAAGAACCGAGCUUGCACCAGGAAACUUCUGAUGUACCUGAAACAGCUAUUUAGUAGAGCUGGU
Suricata suricatta (meerkat) is the source of this 810-nucleotide long non-coding RNA. RefSeq lists it as uncharacterized. The transcript has 4 exons. The record is from RefSeq and is a predicted model, not a curated record. NCBI's taxonomy places the organism in Eukaryota, Metazoa, Chordata, Mammalia, Carnivora, Herpestidae.